ACUCCUACGGGAGGCAGCAGUGGGGAGUAUUGCACAAUGGAGGAAACUCUGAUGCAGCAACGCCGCGUGGAGGAUGACGCAUUUCGGUGUGUAAACUCCUUUUAUAUGGGAAGAUAAUGACGGUACCAUAUGAAUAAGCACCGGCUAACUCCGUGCCAGCAGCCGCGGUAAUACGGAGGGUGCAAGCGUUGCUCGGAAUCACUGGGCGUAAAGCGCGCGCAGGCGGUUUGAUAAGUUGGAUGUGAAACCCUAUGGCUCAACCAUAGAACUGCAUCCAAAACUGUCAAACUAGAGUCUGGGAGAGGAAGAUGGAAUUGGUUGUGUAGGGGUAAAAUCCGUAGAGAUAACUAGAAAUACCAAAAGCGAAGGCGAUCUUCUGGAACAGUACCGACGCUGAGGCGCGAAAGCGUGGGGAGCAAACAGGAUUAGGUACCCUGGUAGUCCACGCCCUAAACGAUGAAUGUUAGUCGUUGGAGUCCUAGUGACUUCAGUGAUGCAGCUAACGCAUUAAACAUUCCGCCUGGGGAGUACGGUCGCAAGAUUAAAACUCAAAGGAAUAGACGGGGACCCGCACAAGUGGUGGAGCAUGUGGUUUAAUUCGAAGAUACGCGAAGAACCUUACCUGGCCUUGACAUUGAUAGAACACCGUAGAGAUACAGUGGUGCCCUUCGGGGAGCUUGAAAACAGGUGCUGCACGGCUGUCGUCAGCUCGUGUCGUGAGAUGUUGGGUUAAGUCCCGCAACGAGCGCAACCCACGUGACUAGUUACUAACGGUUCGGCCGAGGACUCUAGUCAGACUGCCUCCGCAAGGAGGAGGAAGGUGAGGACGACGUCAAGUCAUCAUGGCCCUUACGGCCAGGGCAACACACGUGCUACAAUGGUUAGGACAAUGAGACGCAAUACCGCGAGGUGGAGCAAAUCCAUAAAACCUAAUCUCAGUUCGGA
RNAcentral lists this ribosomal RNA (945 nucleotides) under uncultured Campylobacterota bacterium. Its description in RNAcentral is "bacterial SSU rRNA". It matches the Rfam family "Bacterial small subunit ribosomal RNA", at positions 335 to 1297 of the family's 1533-position model. Lineage: Bacteria; Pseudomonadati; Campylobacterota. The record is from RNAcentral.